UACGUAGGGGGCAAGCGUUGUUCGGAAUUACUGGGGGUAGAGGGCGCGUAGGCGGCACAGCAAGUCGGGAGUGAAAGCCCGGGGCUCAACCCCGGAACUGCUUUCGAAACUGCUGAGCUAGAGUACAGAAGGGGCAACCGGAAUUCCCAGUGUAGCGGUGAAAUGCGUAGAUAUUGGGAAGAACACCUGAGGCGAAGGCGGGUUGCUGGGCUGAUACUGACGCUGAGGCGCGAAAGCCAGGGGAGCAAACGGG
RNAcentral lists this ribosomal RNA (253 nucleotides) under uncultured bacterium. RNAcentral's name for it is "partial 16S ribosomal RNA". It matches the Rfam family "Bacterial small subunit ribosomal RNA", at positions 524 to 776 of the family's 1533-position model. The record is from RNAcentral.